CCUACGGGUGGCAGCAGUGAGGAAUAUUGGUCAAUGGACGAGAGUCUGAACCAGCAAAGUAGCGUGAAGGAUGACUGCCCUAUGGGUUGUAAACUUCUUUUAUAUGGGAUUAAAAUGUUCCACGUGUGGGUUUUUGUAUGUACCAACUGAAUAAGGAUCGGCGAACUCCGUGCCAGCAGCCGGGGUAAUACGGAGGAUCCGAGCGUUAUCCGGAUUUAUUGGGUUUAAAGGGAGCGUAGGUGGAUUGUUAAGUCAGUUGUGAAAGUUUGCGGCUCAACCGUAAAAUUGCAGUUGAAACUGGCAGUCUUGAGUACAGGAGAGGUGGGCGGAAUUCGUGGUGUAGCGGUGAAAUGCUUAGAUAUCACGAAGAACUCCGAUUGCGAAGGCAGCUCACUGGACUGCAACUGACACUGAGGCUCGAAAGUGUGGGUAUCAAACAGGAUUAGAUACCCUUGUAGUC
RNAcentral lists this ribosomal RNA (460 nucleotides) under uncultured bacterium. Its description in RNAcentral is "partial 16S ribosomal RNA". It matches the Rfam family "Bacterial small subunit ribosomal RNA", at positions 338 to 795 of the family's 1533-position model. The record is from RNAcentral.